UGCGUAGAGUGCAUGGCCCGUACGGCCUCUGGCCUGCCCGAAUGCCUGCCAUCUCAUCGUGGGUCGUGGGCCUCGCACACGCUUUCGACAUGUCAGCUGGAAUGAGCUCACGUGACCAGUUAAAUUUCUUUCUUUUUUUGCCUCCAAAGUGGUUGAUGAGCACUUCUCUCCAAAGGACUUGCGAUGGGCGCUUCACAUAUCUGCUCCAAACCAUUUGCUCCAAACGGAGAAGUCCGCAAGUAUCCAGCAAGUGCGCUGUAUCGGUGCACAGGACAGAUUUUAAGAAGGAAAACGAAAAAGGCUGUUCCUUGUAGAGGCAGCUCAGUACUCCUAUAAGAUGUGACAUACAUAGAUCUGUACAAACUGUACACAGAUCCCUGCGUGAUGUCCUGUACGCGAGUACAGCUGUGCGUACGAACCUCCCCUACGAGCACACAAUCCUUGAAUCUCCUGCUGGGAAGAAAAAGAAUACCUUCUCUGUCUUUAUGAGGAAACAAAGAAAUUAAAGCUCUUUGGCUACGCGUAAUGAAAUGUA
Molecule: long non-coding RNA, 535 nt
Organism: Ornithodoros turicata
Lineage: Eukaryota; Metazoa; Arthropoda; Arachnida; Ixodida; Argasidae
Exons: 2
Source: RefSeq, a predicted model, not a curated record